GACGAACGCUGGCGGCGUGCCUAAUACAUGCAAGUUGAGCGCUGAAGGUUGGUACUUGUACCAACUGGAUGAGCAGCGAACGGGUGAGUAACGCGUGGGGAAUCUGCCUUUGAGCGGGGGACAACAUUUGGAAACGAAUGCUAAUACCGCAUAAAAACUUUAAACACAAGUUUUAAGUUUGAAAGAUGCAAUUGCAUCACUCAAAGAUGAUCCCGCGUUGUAUUAGCUAGUUGGUGAGGUAAAGGCUCACCAAGGCGAUGAUACAUAGCCGACCUGAGAGGGUGAUCGGCCACAUUGGGACUGAGACACGGCACAAACUCCUACGGGAGGCAGCAGUAGGGAAUCUUCGGCAAUGGACGAAAGUCUGACCGAGCAACGCCGCGUGAGUGAAGAAGGUUUUCGGAUCGUAAAACUCUGUUGGUAGAGAAGAACGUUGGUGAGAGUGGAAAGCUCAUCAAGUGACGGUAACUACCCAGAAAGGGACGGCUAACUACGUG
Molecule: ribosomal RNA, 497 nt
Filed under: uncultured bacterium
Lineage: Bacteria
Description: partial 16S ribosomal RNA
Rfam family: Bacterial small subunit ribosomal RNA
Source: RNAcentral